Long non-coding RNA from Dromiciops gliroides (monito del monte), 1336 nucleotides. RefSeq lists it as uncharacterized. Lineage: Eukaryota; Metazoa; Chordata; Mammalia; Microbiotheria; Microbiotheriidae. The transcript has 3 exons. The record is from RefSeq and is a predicted model, not a curated record.
UUCUGCUGGGGUUUGCAUUCCCGCCUCGGGAAGGGGUGUAGACAGUAAUCCCCACUGGACAAGGAGUUCUAGCCAAGGGGAACUUGGAUUCAGGAUUCCAGAUUGGAUGCUGUUGCCAUCCAGUCCAGCAGGCCCAGCUCAGAUGCCACUCCUUCUCUGGUCUUCCCCUUCCCACCCACCCCAGUCUCUCCUGACUUUCUAUUGUGAGAACCAAAUGAAACCAAGAAGGCAUUAUGCAAUAAUAAUACAAAAUAUAUAUUAAGAUGUAUACAGAAUAUAAAAAGUAAUAACCGUUAUUGUUGUAAGGUAGUGUUGGGAAGGAGAAAAUGAGGAGGGCCUUUGGGGAUUCUGCAACAGAGUGGGGAGAGGAAUUCAAGGAGUAGUCGGCCAGAGAGAGAGAAACACCACACUGGAGGAAGGUCUGAAGGAGAGGGAAUUCAGAAAAGAUGGGCAAAGUACGGGGAGCACAACCAACAAGAAAGAAGCAAGCUGACUUCACCAUGUCCCAGAAAGUUCAUUAUUAGAACAUCCUAUAAACUCCCCCCAACUUUGGUACUCUACCUUAUCAGUACCCUCUGGUCCUCUGAUUGAAUUUACCAUCAGUGUGGUAGCUGACCUUGAUGCCAUGUUCAUCCUCACUGAGCCUAUGAUCAUCCUCAUGUUCAUCCCCAGCCCAGCCUAUGAUCUGUAAUAUCACUAGAAUGAAUGGUUUAUUGAAGUUCUGUCAGGUACUUUGCUCAUAACUAAGUGCUAAACUAAUGUUGAGUUAACGAAAGAAUGGUGUGUGAAGAAGAGAGAUUUUAACUUCAUUUGACUUCUCCCUCCUGCAUUCUCUGCCAACCUAUAUUUUCCUUUGACAACUGGUAUCCCUCCCCAGUGAAGUCAGUUUACUCCCUUUCCCCACUGGCUUUGUCCCUCUGCCUUUAGUGAAUCAAUGAAAGGGCAAAAACAAUCCUCUUCUCCCUAGUCUCACAAAGGGAAGGGUCAGAUCAUAAUCCAAUCCUACCUCCUCCAGGAUCUAAAACUGAAAGGAACCCAGAAAUUUUAUGAUUCUUUUUCUGAUGCAAGGUGACUGAAUAUGGGUCUUGAGAUGUAGCCGUCCAGCCUUUGAGAUGACCUCAUGAAUUAGAGAAGUUCCAGAGAUCCUGGGUCCUCAGGCAGUGCUGACUAUACUUCAGGAGAAGUCCUUAACACCUACUCUAGCCCUCUGUCUGUCUGACCACUCCUUCUUAAGUGUCCUUUGCUAGGUCGUCAACUGUCUCCUACACUUUUAAUGUCUAACUUGGACUUCUUCUUUUUCUUUGCUUUUUCUCUUGGUAUUCUGAUUGGUUUUCAU